AAUGAACGCUGGCGGCAGGCCUAACACAUGCAAGUCGAGCGGAUGAAGGGAGCUUGCUCCUGGAUUCAGCGGAGGAAGGGUGAGUAAUGCCUAGGAAUCUGCCUGGUAGUGGGGGCUAACGUCCGGAAACGGGCGCUAAUACCGCAUACGUUCUGCGGGAGAAAGUGGGGGAUCUUCGGACUUCACGUUUUCAGAUGAGCGUAGGUCGGAUUAGCUAGUUGGUGGGGUAAAGGCCUACCAAGGCGCCGAUCCGUAACUGGUCUGAGAGGAUGAUCAGUCACACUGGAACUGAGACACGGUCCAGACUCCUACAGGAGGCAGCGGUGGGGAAUAUUGGACAAUGAGCGAAAGCCUGAUCCAGCCAUGCCGCGUGGGUGAAGAAGGUCUUCGGAUUGUAAAGCACUUUAAGUUGGGAGGAUGGGCAGUAAGUUAAUACCUGGCUGUUUUGACGUUACCAACAGAAUAAGCACCGGCUAACUUCGUG
RNAcentral lists this ribosomal RNA (484 nucleotides) under uncultured bacterium. RNAcentral describes it as "partial 16S ribosomal RNA". It matches the Rfam family "Bacterial small subunit ribosomal RNA", at positions 29 to 507 of the family's 1533-position model. The record is from RNAcentral.